UUAGAGUUUGAUCAUGGCUCAGAUUGAACGCUGGCGGCAGGCUUAACACAUGCAAGUCGAGCGGGGUGAUGGUGCUUGCACUAUCACUUAGCGGCGGACGGGUGAGUAAUGCUUAGGAAUCUGCCUAUUAGUGGGGGACAACAUUUCGAAAGGAAUGCUAAUACCGCAUACGCCCUACGGGGGAAAGCAGGGGACCUUCGGGCCUUGCGCGAUUGGAUGAACCCAGGUGGGAUUAGCUAGUUGGUGAGGUAAUGGCUCACCAAGGCGACGAUCUCUAACUGGUUUGAGAGAAUGACCAGUCACACUGGAACUGAGACACGGUCCAGACUCCUACGGGAGGCAGCAGUGGGGAAUAUUGCACAAUGGGCGCAAGCCUGAUGCAGCCAUGCCGCGUGUGUGAAGAAGGCCUUCGGGUUGUAAAGCACUUUCAGCGGGGAGGAAGGGCCACUAGUUAAUACCUAGUGGCAUUGACGUUACUCGCAGAAGAAGCACCGGCUAACUCCGUGCCAGCAGCCGCGGUAAUACGGAGGGUGCAAGCGUUAAUCGGAAUUACUGGGCGUAAAGCGCGCGUAGGCGGCUAAUUAAGUCAAAUGUGAAAUCCCCGAGCUUAACUUGGGAAUUGCAUUCGAUACUGGUUAGCUAGAGUGUGGGAGAGGAUGGUAGAAUUCCAGGUGUAGCGGUGAAAUGCGUAGAGAUCUGGAGGAAUACCGAUGGCGAAGGCAGCCAUCUGGCCUAACACUGACGCUGAGGUGCGAAAGCAUGGGGAGCAAACAGGAUUAGAUACCCUGGUAGUCCAUGCCGUAAACGAUGUCUACUAGCCGUUGGGGCCUUUGAGGCUUUAGUGGCGCAGCUAACGCGAUAAGUAGACCGCCUGGGGAGUACGGUCGCAAGACUAAAACUCAAAUGAAUUGACGGGGGCCCGCACAAGCGGUGGAGCAUGUGGUUUAAUUCGAUGCAACGCGAAGAACCUUACCUGGCCUUGACAUACUAGAAACUUUCCAGAGAUGGAUUGGUGCCUUCGGGAAUCUAGAUACAGGUGCUGCAUGGCUGUCGUCAGCUCGUGUCGUGAGAUGUUGGGUUAAGUCCCGCAACGAGCGCAACCCUUUUCCUUACUUGCCAGCAUUUCGGAUGGGAACUUUAAGGAUACUGCCAGUGACAAACUGGAGGAAGGCGGGGACGACGUCAAGUCAUCAUGGCCCUUACGGCCAGGGCUACACACGUGCUACAAUGGUCGGUACAAAGGGUUGCUACACAGCGAUGUGAUGCUAAUCUCAAAAAGCCGAUCGUAGUCCGGAUUGGAGUCUGCAACUCGACUCCAUGAAGUCGGAAUCGCUAGUAAUCGCGGAUCAGAAUGCCGCGGUGAAUACGUUCCCGGGCCUUGUACACACCGCCCGUCACACCAUGGGAGUGGGUUGCAAAAGAAGUAGGUAGCUUAACCUUCGGGAGGGCGCUUACCACUUUGUGAUUCAUGACUGGGGUGAAGUCGUAACAAGGUAACCGUAG
This 1503-nucleotide ribosomal RNA is filed under the name uncultured bacterium. RNAcentral describes it as "16S ribosomal RNA". It matches the Rfam family "Bacterial small subunit ribosomal RNA". The record is from RNAcentral.